UGCCAGCAUCCGCGGUACUCCAGAUUGUGCAAGCGUUAAUCGGACUUACUGGGCGUAAAGGGCGUGUAGGCGGUUAGUUAAGUUAGAUGUGAAAGACCUGGGCUCAACCUGGGAGGUGCAUUUAAUACUGGCUAACUAGAGUACAGUAGAGGGCAGUGGAAUUUCUGGUGUAGCGGUGAAAUGCGUAGAUAUCAGAAGGAACAUCGAUGGCGAAGGCAGCUGUCUGGACUGUAACUGACGCUGAGGCGCGAAAGCGUGGGUAGCAAACAGGAUUAGAUA
This 279-nucleotide ribosomal RNA is filed under the name uncultured bacterium. RNAcentral's name for it is "partial 16S ribosomal RNA". It matches the Rfam family "Bacterial small subunit ribosomal RNA", at positions 506 to 784 of the family's 1533-position model. The record is from RNAcentral.